RNAcentral lists this microRNA (20 nucleotides) under Ciona intestinalis (vase tunicate). Its description in RNAcentral is "cin-miR-153-5p". Its record names the gene cin-miR-153-5p. The record is from miRBase by way of RNAcentral. Lineage: Eukaryota; Metazoa; Chordata; Ascidiacea; Phlebobranchia; Cionidae.
GUCAUUUUUCUAUUAUGCAA